GGACCCGUAGCUCAGCGGAUAGAGCAGGACGUUUCACCACACCUUGUCGUCACGGACAGAUGGAAUGACAUGGCGAAUGCAUGGGGAACUACAUCUGUGUCGCGAGUUCGAUUCUCGCCAGGGCCU
This is a non-coding RNA of Rhizobium etli CNPAF512, 126 nucleotides long. The record is from Rfam. Lineage: Bacteria; Pseudomonadati; Pseudomonadota; Alphaproteobacteria; Hyphomicrobiales; Rhizobiaceae.